GAAAUUUCAAGCCAGGCCAGCAUAUCGUCUCCAUCUGUUUUAAGGUUUAAGGGUGGUGGCACAGCUAAGACCCAAGAGUCUCUUUCAAGGUUAGUAAAGUAAACAGAUUCAAGAAGAUAUUUUACACAUUUCUUUGUCGUCUGUCUCUAAAUCUUAUUUUGUCUUUAUUAUGAUUAAAAAGGUUUGUUUUGUUCCUGCCCUUUUCAGACACUGAAUUUGAGCAGAAACCAUAAGGAUACUCAACGGACCUGUGACUCUCAGGAAAUGGUGAGAUUUCAGGUCAUAAUCUUUUUUUUCCCAUUAAAUUAAUUUUCCUUUUUCCCUUUACAAUAUUGCUGUUUUGUUUUUGUAAACAGCAUCAAAUGAGAGAGACAGAUGAAACAGUUUCAAGACAAUGGCAGGAAAAAAAUGCUGAAGAUUGAAACAAACCUUGGCUGGAAAUAUUUGAAGGUAUCUAGCCAGUCCACAAUGAAAGCUUCGUUGCACCCAAUGAGUCUUCUGGCAGAAAUGAUGGCGGCUGUAUUCUUUGGUUUCCCUAAACAUCACACCCUGCCUGUUUAUACGAGGCUCUUCAAUUGAGUCUGCACCCAAAGAUUCAAUAAGAGAGGGGAUCCUGCCAGUCCAAAGUGAACUCCUGAUGGACAUUGAAGUACUCCUGCAGAGCUUGUAUCUUCAACACCAUGCGCAUUAGAAACUCCACCGAGUCCUUUCCUUCACCAAGGCAGGACCCAGUGACUCAUUACUGUUGAUAGGUCAGGGGCAGGUAAUAUUUUGUUUCAUGUUUAUUCAUUCCUCCAUGGAUUACCAGCCAUAUAUAUGGACACAUGCUGUAUUCUCAAGAUCUAUGCUGUUUUGUAGGAAUAGAGAAAAUAAUAUGUUUAGUCUGUUUUCAAAUGGUAUGUCAAAUUUUCUCAUUGUUUAUCAGUAAUAUUCUCUACCUUGGUUGUAUAUGAGCAUCUUUAGAUUUUUCUAUAUUUAGCGGUUGCAAAUGUAAAAUGUACGGUAAACCAUUUAUGUUCCUCAUAUUGUAC
Long non-coding RNA from Astatotilapia calliptera (eastern happy), 1031 nucleotides. Lineage: Eukaryota; Metazoa; Chordata; Actinopteri; Cichliformes; Cichlidae. The record is from Ensembl.